Molecule: unclassified non-coding RNA, 300 nt
Filed under: Hevea brasiliensis (rubber tree)
Lineage: Eukaryota; Viridiplantae; Streptophyta; Magnoliopsida; Malpighiales; Euphorbiaceae
Source: RNAcentral
AUGCAUAUCAAAUACAAGCCAUAAAAUCAAUUAUCAAAACUAUUCACUAUUUUGUACGAGAAGGUGAGCUAACUCCAAAAACCUGUCAUUAGUUCGGAUUACGAACUGCAACUCUUUUACGUGAGACCAAAAUUAUUGGUAAUCGUCAGUCAACCACAUGACAAUGAAUAUUGUUUCUGUAAAAUAGAGAUUCAGAAACAAAUUCAUGAAUACCAUCAAUAUCUUUUGAAAUGACAGUAAUAACGGCGAUAAUAAAUACUAAAGUUGCAGUUAAUAAAGUAGGGAUCUUCAAUAUGCGAA